UUCUUAUUUCAUCAUCAUCAUCACGAAAACGGCUCCAGUGCGAAGCCAGGGUGGAGCCGACACAAUAAAUUGGCUUCUUCUAAGAAGGCCUAGCUAUGAAGUGCCCCCCAUUGUUGGCUUCUGCGUGCCAUUUCCUCGAUCAUCAUGACGUACAGCGAGAGAGAGACUAUUUUCCCGAAUGUUGUAAAGUCGUCGUCGUCGUCUGCGAGAUGGCUUCGUUGCAGAUUCCGUGCCUGUCAUCUGCCAUAAAAGGGAACGUCUCGUGUGUUUCCUUGCCGUCGUUUGGGUGAUCGGCUUUCUUUGUUAUUGAUUCGCUUGUCUACGUUUGUGUGCUCAUCAUCAGGAGCCAUUGGUGAUAAGAAGUGCCAAAGCUGCAUACCUUCCUUGCCUCGCGCUCAGCAGUCUAUGGUAGACUAUGCCCGCUAUCUGCGGGCUACCUAGGCUUCCAGUCAUGGUGUUCACCCCCCUCCCGCCCUUGCCGUCGUUCGACUGCUACCACGAUGGUGGUCGCCGGAGGCCUCCCCGCAGGCUGGGCCUCCCGCAGCAAGUGGUCAAGCCAUCCUCGUCCCCUCCACCCAACCCACGACACAGGCAUGACCCCGGCUCCUUUCCGCGGAGCGCCAUCCUGGACCCACCCUUUCUGUUGCCUGAGGAGGAAGAGACAACUAUGCCCCACCUGUCGUGUAUCCGAACUCCACCGAGCCAGCACUCACCGGCGCAGCAAACUGCACAGAAAUAAGACGGAGGCCGCCCGUGCAGCGGGAGAUGCCACCUCUCGAAGAUUGUCGAGGCGAAGUCCAGGCGGAGAUACGGCGAAGGGUCUCCAGGGCCGAGUCCCGAGUCUUCAUAAAUAUUAUUUAACUUGCA
Ornithodoros turicata is the source of this 867-nucleotide long non-coding RNA. RefSeq lists it as uncharacterized. Lineage: Eukaryota; Metazoa; Arthropoda; Arachnida; Ixodida; Argasidae. The transcript is spliced from 2 exons. The record is from RefSeq and is a predicted model, not a curated record.